GGAGUUUGGACCGUGUCUCAGUUCCAAUGUGGGGGACCUUCCUCUCAGAACCCCUACUGAUCGUCGCCUUGGUGGGCCGUUACCCCGCCAACAAGCUAAUCAGACGCAUCCCCAUCCCAUAGCGGUAAACCUUUAUUCCUCGUUAGAUGCCUGCAAAGGAAAACAUAGGGUAUUAAUCCGCAUUUCUACGGGCUAUGCCCUACUAUGGGGAAGGUUGGAUACGCGUUACUCACCCGUGCGCCGGUCGCCAUCAAUCAAAGCAAGCUUCGAUUAUGCUGCCCCUCGACUUGCAUGUGUUAAGCCUGUAGCUAGCGUUCAUC
This 320-nucleotide ribosomal RNA is filed under the name uncultured Prevotella sp. RNAcentral describes it as "partial 16S ribosomal RNA". Lineage: Bacteria; Pseudomonadati; Bacteroidota; Bacteroidia; Bacteroidales; Prevotellaceae. The record is from RNAcentral.